UACGUAGGGGGCAAGCGUUAUCCGGAUUUACUGGGUGUAAAGGGAGCGUAGACGGCAGAGCAAGUCUGAAGUGAAAGCCCGCGGCCCAACUGCGGGACUGCUUUGGAAACUGCCCGGCUAGAGUGCUGGAGAGGUAAGCGGAAUUCCUAGUGUAGCGGUGAAAUGCGUAGAUAUUAGGAGGAACACCAGUGGCGAAGGCGGCCUGCUGGACGAUGACUGACGUUGAGGCUCGAAAGCGUGGGGAGCAAACAGG
This 253-nucleotide ribosomal RNA is filed under the name uncultured bacterium. Its description in RNAcentral is "partial 16S ribosomal RNA". It matches the Rfam family "Bacterial small subunit ribosomal RNA", at positions 524 to 776 of the family's 1533-position model. The record is from RNAcentral.